Molecule: transfer RNA, 73 nt
Filed under: Candidatus Portiera aleyrodidarum (primary endosymbiont of Bemisia tabaci)
Lineage: Bacteria; Pseudomonadati; Pseudomonadota; Gammaproteobacteria; Johnevansiales (SeqCode); Johnevansiaceae (SeqCode)
Description: tRNA-Gln(ttg)
Rfam family: tRNA
About the family: Transfer RNA (tRNA) molecules are approximately 80 nucleotides in length.
Source: RNAcentral
UUGGGGUAUAGCCAAGUGGAAAGGCACCGGUUUUUGGUAUCGGUAUCCCAGGUUCGAAUCCUGGUACCCCAGA